AUGCCCUUGACCUAUGCACCAAUGGAAAGCUUUCUACAGGAGCUAACAUGCACACAACACACAUUCUUUCUCUCUCUCUACCUCUCGGUCUGUCUCUCUCGGUCUCAUUCUCUCAUCUGUCUGUCUGUCUGUCUGUCUCUCUCUACCCCCUCCUUCUCUCUCUGUCUCUGUCUCUGUCUGUCUCUCUCUCUCUCUUUCUUUAUCUCUCUCCCUCUCUCUCUCUUUCCCCUCUAUAUCCCCUCCUCUCUCUUUCCCUUUCUGUCCCUUUCUAUAUUUAUAUAUGUGGACAGACAGAGAUAUAUAUGUGUCUUUUUAGAUGUAUAUGUGUG
This 329-nucleotide long non-coding RNA is filed under the name Monodelphis domestica (gray short-tailed opossum). RNAcentral describes it as "lncRNA (ENSMODG00000041031.1)". The record is from RNAcentral. Lineage: Eukaryota; Metazoa; Chordata; Mammalia; Didelphimorphia; Didelphidae.